Molecule: ribosomal RNA, 332 nt
Filed under: uncultured bacterium
Lineage: Bacteria
Description: bacterial SSU rRNA
Rfam family: Bacterial small subunit ribosomal RNA
Source: RNAcentral
UGCGCAGGCGGCCGUGUGUGUGAGGCGUGAAAGCCCGGAGCUCAACUCCGGAAUGGCACCUCAAACUACACGGCUAGAGCAUUGGAGAGGGUAGCAGAAUUCACGGUGUAGCAGUGAAACGCGUAGAUAUCGUGAGGAAUACCAGAGGCGAAGGCGGCUACCUGGACAAUUGCUGACGCUCAGGCACGAAAGCGUGGGGAGCAAAAGGGAUUAGAUACCCCUGUAGUCCACGCCCUAAACGGUGCGCACUAGGUCUUGGAGGAUUCGACCCCUUCAGGGCCCAAGCUAACGCGUUAAGUGCGCCGCCUGAGGACUACGGCCGCAAGGCUAAA